RNAcentral lists this ribosomal RNA (497 nucleotides) under uncultured bacterium. RNAcentral's name for it is "partial 16S ribosomal RNA". It matches the Rfam family "Bacterial small subunit ribosomal RNA", at positions 28 to 507 of the family's 1533-position model. The record is from RNAcentral.
GAUGAACGCUGGCGGCGUGCCUAAUACAUGCAAGUCGAGCGAAAAAACGAGGAGCUUGUGCUUCUGACGUUAGCGGCGCACGGGCGAGUAACAAGUGGAUAAGCUACCUCUAAGACUGGGAUGAUUACGGGAAACAGGAGACAAUAAUGGCUCAUAUAAUGAACCGCAUGGUUCAAUAGUGAAAGACGGUUUUGCCGUCACAUAUAGACCAAUCCGCGCCGCAUUAGCUAGUUGGUAAGGUGACGGCUUACCAAGGCAACGAUGCGUAGCCGAGCUGAGAGGGUGAUCGGCCACACUGGAACUGAGACACGGUCCAGACUCCUACGAGAGGCAGCAGUAGGGAAUCUUCCGCAAUGGGCGAAAGCCUGACGGAGCAACGCCGCGUGAGUGAUGAAGGUCUUCGGAUCGUAAAACUCUGUUAUUAGGGAAGAACAAAUGUGUAAGUAACUAUGCACGUCUUGACGGUACCUAAUCAGAAAGCCACGGCUAACCACGUG